Molecule: long non-coding RNA, 1585 nt
Filed under: Gallus gallus (chicken)
Lineage: Eukaryota; Metazoa; Chordata; Aves; Galliformes; Phasianidae
Description: long non-coding RNA NONGGAT003536
Source: RNAcentral
UUUGUAUUUUCCAUUUGUCUGACUUAGCUUUUCCAGGUGUCUCUUGCUGAUGCAGCUUGAAACCUCCAGUUUCCAUAGUAAUCAGCAGGGGUAACAACGUCCUGCAUAAGACAUGUCUACCACUGCAGGACCACACAGAGAUAUACGAGCUAAUUCCAUUUUCAGUAACAGCCCAUCAACAAUGGAACUGCACAUCAGCUAGUCCAAGGAGCAGGCAAUGAGCAAAUACAAUUCUCGAGCCUACUUCUUCCACUUAGGCCAAGGAAGUCUGCGCUCAUGCUUCUACCAAGGAUGGAGAAGAGGCAACAGCCUACAAGCAUCCACCCAAGAUCCAGAACAUAAAACUUUGACACACAAAACACGGACCUGUCAGACUAGUUCUAGAGCCCAAGAAGCACGCGGCAACCAUCCCUUGUGUUCACAUUCGAUGUGCUGCCCAGGAAAGAGAACUUCACUGGGGAUUUUUGAUAAACUAUUAUACUAUAACAUUUUCUGGAUAAUUGAUACCAAACGUUGCUACAAGCAGUAGGACUAUGCAACAGAUUCAGGAAAGGUACAUGAAAUACAUCCUCCAAUCCUUGUUAUUCAGCAUUCAACAUAUCUAUAAAUUAUUUAAACAUAAGAUCAGCAAUAAAUACCUUUUUGCAAGUGAUAUAUCAUCACAAGACAAGCUCCAGCCCUCCAAGUAAUGCCGAAAGCCACUUGUGCUGUGUUACUGCACCAUCACUAAGACUAUUUCCUAGAAUUAGCAGCAGAGUAUUCUGCUCACGCAGCACCUCCAGGCCUCAGCAGUGUGCCUGCUAAUGAAGCACGACGGCUUGAGGAAAUCAGCUGCCUUAGGACUGGCUCUUCCCAGCACAGCACAGGAACUCUGAUCCUAUUUACAUACAGCAGUGCCCGGUGGUAAGAGUGAUCAGCAGGAGGAACACCGGGACCUCCUUUACUUUGGGUGCAUGUGGAAGCUGAUUUGCUAUUGAGCCUUGUCUGCCUUUAUUUAGCUCACAAAGAACAGGUUUCUAUUUUCUAUUAUUAGCUUCAAUACUCUGGAGCAGCAAUACUGGUUGCUGUUCAUGUUACAUGCAAUUUUCAUGUUACAACAGAAGUGAGAGAUUGUGACGCCUGGGAUGGGAUAAUUAUGUCUGCAGUUAGCAACACCACGAGAACAGCAUUCUAAAUAAAUCCAUAGAAAGAUUAUUUAUCAUGGUACAGCCUAAAUAAAGCACAGCAGAAGAAUCCACGCUGAAAGCACUUACAAACACACCUCCCUCGGAUGGAGCUCGCUUCAGGCACGAAUGGAACAGGCUGUGUGGGACCUGCAGGAAUCCCAGCUGAUCCCCAGUCCAGGGCUUGCCCUCAACACGUCAGCGCAGACAGCUUUGGAAGAACCAAAUUUGUUUCCUACCCCUUAUAAACGAGCCCUCAAGAACGUCUACUGGGCAAAGAGGGAACACCGCUGAGAACUGGAACCAUGGCUGCUAAAAUGGGAUGGGAUGGCCUCCUCUUAACACACAACUUCUCUGCAGAGCUGAUGCCACCUGCAUUGAAGCCCACCUUUAAAAUGACAGAAGCCUAUGAUAACAUGAAU